This 465-nucleotide ribosomal RNA is filed under the name uncultured bacterium. RNAcentral describes it as "partial 16S ribosomal RNA". It matches the Rfam family "Bacterial small subunit ribosomal RNA", at positions 338 to 795 of the family's 1533-position model. The record is from RNAcentral.
CCUACGGGAGGCAGCAGUAGGGAAUCUUCCACAAUGGGCGCAAGCCUGAUGGAGCAACACCGCGUGAGUGAAGAAGGGUUUCGGCUCGUAAAGCUCUGUUGUUGGAGAAGAACGUGCGUGAGAGUAACUGUUCACGCAGUGACGGUAUCCAACCAGAAAGUCACGGCUAACUACGUGCCAGCAGCCGCGGUAAUACGUAGGUGGCAAGCGUUAUCCGGGUUUAUUGGGCGUAAAGCGAGCGCAGGCGGUUGCUUAGGUCUGAUGUGAAAGCCUUCGGCUUAACCGAAGAAGUGCAUCGGAAACCGGGCAACUUGAGUGCAGAAGAGGACAGUGGAACUCCAUGUGUAGCGGUGGAAUGCGUAGAUAUAUGGAAGAACACCAGUGGCGAAGGCGGCUGUCUGGUCUGCAACUGACGCUGAGGCUCGAAAGCAUGGGUAGCGAACAGGAUUAGAUACCCCAGUAGUC